CCACCAAGCAGUGGAUCAUUUUCAAAGACAGUCACAGGAAUUCACAACUGAAUCCUUCAAGCAGCGGAUCAUUUUCAAAGACCAUCACAGGCAAUUGAACCCUCCAAGC
Non-coding RNA from Pogona vitticeps (central bearded dragon), 109 nucleotides. The record is from RefSeq and is a predicted model, not a curated record. NCBI's taxonomy places the organism in Eukaryota, Metazoa, Chordata, Lepidosauria, Squamata, Agamidae.